AACGAACGCUGGCGGCAUGCCUAACACAUGCAAGUCGAACGAAGUCUUCGGACUUAGUGGCGCACGGGUGCGUAACGCGUGGGAAUCUGCCCUUGGGUGCGGGAAUAACUUUCUCGAAAGGGAUGCUAAUACCGCAUAAUGUCGUAAGACCAAAGAUUUAUCGCCCAAGGAUGAGCCCGCGUAAGAUUAGCUAGUUGGUGGGGUAAAAGCCUACCAAGGCGACGAUCUUUAGCUGGUCUGAGAGGAUGAUCAGCCACACUGGGACUGAGACACGGCCCAGACUCUACGGAGGCAGCAGUGGGAAUAUUGCGCAAUGGGCGAAAGGCCUGACGCGAGCGACGCCGCGUGGGUGA
RNAcentral lists this ribosomal RNA (353 nucleotides) under uncultured bacterium. RNAcentral's name for it is "bacterial SSU rRNA". It matches the Rfam family "Bacterial small subunit ribosomal RNA", at positions 29 to 408 of the family's 1533-position model. The record is from RNAcentral.